CAGCAGCCGCGGGAAUACGUAGGGUGCGAGCGUUAAUCGGAAUUACUGGGCGUAAAGCGUGCGCAGGCGGUUUUGUAAGACAGGCGUGAAAUCCCCGGGCUCAACCUUGGAAUGGCGCUUGUGACUGCAAAGCUAGAGUGCGGCAGAGGGGGAUGGAAUUCCGCGUGUAGCAGUGAAAUGCGUAGAUAUGCGGAGGAACACCGAUGGCGAAGGCAAUCCCCUGGGCCUGCACUGACGCUCAUGCACGAAAGCGUGGGGAGCAAACAGGAUUAGAUACCCGCGUAGUCCCUGUCUCUUAUAC
RNAcentral lists this ribosomal RNA (301 nucleotides) under uncultured bacterium. RNAcentral describes it as "partial 16S ribosomal RNA". It matches the Rfam family "Bacterial small subunit ribosomal RNA", at positions 509 to 807 of the family's 1533-position model. The record is from RNAcentral.